RNAcentral lists this ribosomal RNA (465 nucleotides) under uncultured Klebsiella sp. Its description in RNAcentral is "bacterial SSU rRNA". It matches the Rfam family "Bacterial small subunit ribosomal RNA", at positions 338 to 795 of the family's 1533-position model. Lineage: Bacteria; Pseudomonadati; Pseudomonadota; Gammaproteobacteria; Enterobacterales; Enterobacteriaceae. The record is from RNAcentral.
CCUACGGGAGGCUGCAGUGGGGAAUAUUGCACAAUGGGCGCAAGCCUGAUGCAGCCACGCCGCGUGUGUGAAGAAGGCCUUCGGGUUGUAAAGCACUUUCAGCGGGGAGGAAGGCGUUAAGGUUAAUAACCUUGUCGAUUGACGUUACCCGCAGAAGAAGCACCGGCUAACUCCGUGCCAGCAGCCGCGGUAAUACGGAGGGUGCAAGCGUUAAUCGGAAUUACUGGGCGUAAAGCGCACGCAGGCGGUCUGUCAAGUCGGAUGUGAAAUCCCCGGGCUCAACCUGGGAACUGCAUUCGAAACUGGCAGGCUAGAGGCUUGUAGAGGGGGGUAGAAUUCCAGGUGUAGCGGUGAAAUGCGUAGAGAUCUGGAGGAAUACCGGUGGCGAAGGCGGCCCCCUGGACAAAGACUGACGCUCAGGUGCGAAAGCGUGGGGAGCAAACAGGAUUAGAUACCCGGGUAGUC